GAUGAACGCUGGCGGCGUGCCUAAUACAUGCAAGUCGAGCGAACGGACGAGAAGCUUGCUUUUCUGAUGUUUGCGGCGGACGGGUGAGUAACACGCGGAUAACCUACUUAUAAGAGUGGGAUAAUAUCGGGAAACCGGAGCUAAUACCGGAUGAUAUUUUGAAUCGCAGGGUUCAAAAGAGAAAGACGGUCUUGUGGUCAUGUAUAGAUGGAUCCGGGCUGCAUUGGUUAGUUGGUAAGGUAACGGCAUACCAAGGCAACGAUGGUUAGCGGUCGUGGGAGACUGAUCGGCCCCCUUGGAACUUGACCCGGUCCCAGCCUCCUACGGGAGGCACCAGGGGGGAACCUUCCGCAGCGGGGGAAGUCCUACCAAAGCAACGCCGCGUAGGUGAUGAAGGUCUUGGGUUCGUAAAACCCUGUUAUUGGGGAAGAACAUAUUUGUAAGUAUCUGUGGACGUAUUGACGGUACCGAAUCAGAAAGCCACGGCUAACUACGUG
This 497-nucleotide ribosomal RNA is filed under the name uncultured bacterium. Its description in RNAcentral is "partial 16S ribosomal RNA". It matches the Rfam family "Bacterial small subunit ribosomal RNA", at positions 28 to 507 of the family's 1533-position model. The record is from RNAcentral.